GUGGGAGGUGCCCUGCGGAGAUGUGCUCUGCCAAACUCAAACAGAACCAGUAUAGAGUUCAUGGAAGCAUUAAGGUUAUCAGGAGCUGUGAGCCUCAUUUCAGGAAAACCACUCUGGAUAAAGCUACCUGUACUUGCUGUCAAAUUCUUAGAGCAAUCUACAGAAAGUCCUGCUGUGAACGUGGUACAGUAGAGGUGUUACCCUGGAAUGCCGAGCUUUUAGCACAGCAAACUUGAGGCAUAACAAUGGUUCCUGCCUUCUAAUGAAGAAGAAAAUAAAACACGUUUUACAAAUGGAAAGUUUAAACAUUUGUGCAAGAAAGAAUGUACAUUGCAGCAAAUGAAAGAAGCUUAGAAAUAUACUGUCAACUGUCAUAAUGAAAACUUGCCUACUCAUGUCUGCGACUGAACCUUUUAAGAACUACCAUUCCUCUUUUCCCCCAGUGACACAGAGUAUUACCAAGAUAAACAUUUUGCCUCAUACUCAUAGUACGCACAGAGCUAGCUUUAACUUGUCCAUACUCUUUUCCAAUACCAGAAAAGGAGCAAGGUUAGCGUGAAGUGCUAUGGCUAUGUUCAUUCAUUGCCCUCAACUAUUACUUCUGUGACCUGCCAUCCAAAAAUCAGCAAGGCUUCAUUUCUUUGCUUAGGGAAACAUGCAACAAUAUUAUGCUUUGAACUUACUAUUUGGCUUUGUGAAUUAUUUGCAUUUUUGCAACAUGGAGAUUUCUAAGGGACAUGAACAUUACGC
Molecule: long non-coding RNA, 750 nt
Filed under: Gallus gallus (chicken)
Lineage: Eukaryota; Metazoa; Chordata; Aves; Galliformes; Phasianidae
Source: RNAcentral